Molecule: ribosomal RNA, 241 nt
Filed under: uncultured bacterium
Lineage: Bacteria
Description: partial 16S ribosomal RNA
Rfam family: Bacterial small subunit ribosomal RNA
Source: RNAcentral
GAUCAUGGCUCAGGACGAACGCUGGCGGCGUGCUUAACACAUGCAAGUCGAACGGACAGACAGAGAGCUUGCUCUCUAGAAGUUAGUGGCGAACGGGUGAGUAACGCGUAAUCAACCUGCCCUUCAGAGGGGGAUAACAACGGGAAACCGUUGCUAAUACCGCGUACGAUUCACGAGCGGCAUCGCUUGUGAAUGAAAGGUGGCCUCUAUUUAUAAGCUAUCGCUGAAGGAGGGGAUUGCG